RNAcentral lists this ribosomal RNA (301 nucleotides) under uncultured bacterium. Its description in RNAcentral is "partial 16S ribosomal RNA". It matches the Rfam family "Bacterial small subunit ribosomal RNA", at positions 509 to 807 of the family's 1533-position model. The record is from RNAcentral.
CAGCAGCCGCGGGAACACGAAGGGGGCUAGCGUUGUUCGGAUUUACUGGGCGUAAAGGGCGCGUAGGCGGACUGAUAAGUCAGGGGUGAAAUCCCAAGGCUCAACCUUGGAACUGCCUUUGAUACUGUUUGUCUUGAGUUCGAGAGAGGUAAGUGGAACUGCGAGUGUAGAGGUGAAAUUCGUAGAUAUUCGCAAGAACACCAGUGGCGGAGGCGGCUUACUGGCUCGAAACUGACGCUGAGGCGCGAAAGCGUGGGGAGCAAACAGGAUUAGAUACCCCAGUAGUCCCUGUCUCUUAUAC